GCGCCCGUGGCGGAAUGGGUAGACGCAGAGGACUUAAAAUUCUCAGCCUUUACGGCGUACUGGUUCGAGUCCAGUCGGGCGCACCA
RNAcentral lists this transfer RNA (86 nucleotides) under Nevskia sp. RNAcentral describes it as "tRNA-Leu". It matches the Rfam family "tRNA". Rfam says of the family: Transfer RNA (tRNA) molecules are approximately 80 nucleotides in length. Their secondary structure includes four short double-helical elements and three loops (D, anti-codon, and T loops). Lineage: Bacteria; Pseudomonadati; Pseudomonadota; Gammaproteobacteria; Nevskiales; Nevskiaceae. RNAcentral also lists the same sequence under 2 other names. The record is from RNAcentral.